UCCUUUCUAAUUCUAUUUCCAUGGUGCAACAAAUAAAAGUUAGAGAGAGAGAGAAAGAAUAGCCCAACUCUAAAUCCAAAGCCAUGGAAUGGAAGAACAACACAAAAUAUAUGGAGGAGGGUGCCACAUGAUGCACAGUCACAGUGCCUUUCUUUCUGCAGUAUAAGAGUGAGAGUGUGGCUGUGUCCUUUCAUUUUUUCUUCGUGUUUUGUAUAUUUGUGUAGAUGGGAUGUUCUUCCUCCUCCUCCUCCUGCUUUUCCUCUUCUUCUACUUCACGCUUUUAUUAUUUUUAUGUUUUGUAUGAAAACAGAAGCUGAAAGAUCGGGUAUUUAGGCCUCUUUUUGGGGAAGAUAUAGCGGUGAAUCUUGUGAAGCUUGUGUGUCUUUUCUUUUCCUUCGAUUCUCUCUCUUUUAUCUGCUCUUGCACCCUCAUGAGGAUCCGCAAAAGCCAUGCGUUUUUAUCUUCCCCCCACUUUCCGCCCACUCCUCCGUCAGAUCCCCACCGCUCACCAGGGCUGGUGCAACUCACCACCGCAAAUCUCCACCACCGACAACGUGGCUCCGAUCAUGGUGCUCAACCGUCUGAUCAACCUAUCAACGGCUGGGAUGAUUCCUCCGGUGAGAGUGGGGCACACAGACAGCACAUCAAGCAAGACCCUUCGGUGGAGGAUGAUUAUGAUUAUGAUGAUGGAAGAAGAGAAGACAGUGGUGAAGACUCGGAGGACAAGAAAAGUAAUCAUUCCAGGAAAGGAAACAUCUUUGGUUCUUCUCAAACACUGCCACCAGCACCACCGUUAAACCUUUAUUCUUCGACUCCUCUUCAAGUAUUGUAUGCAGAUGAGAGAUGGUGUGAGGAAGAGAAAGCGAUUCCUUUCAAGAAACGAAGAGGGAGCUUUGACAACAUGGGAAUGAGUGAUGGUAAGAAGACGAAGGCGAGGAUGAAGACGAAGAUGAACAACAAGUGCAGUAAUAACAACAAGAGUGAAGAGGAGAAGGUGAAAGGGAAGAAGAAGAAGAAGGGGAGGGGCAGUGCAGUAAUGGAAGGCUCACGGUGCAGUCGUGUGAAUGGAAGAGGUUGGAGGUGUUGCCAACAAACUCUUGUUGGUUACUCCCUCUGUGAGCAUCACUUGGGCAAAGGAAGACUCAGAAGCAUGACAAGUGUUCGAAACCGUUCUACAACAACAAAGGUGGUGGUGCAACAACAACAACAACAUGCUCAUGAUCGUGGUAAUAAUAAUAAUAAUCCUUCAUCUUCUUCUUCUUCUGAUAAGCUCAGCGUGAAGACGAUAAUGGGUGGUGGUAGUAGCAACAAGAGGAAGAUGAAGCAGCUUGGAAUGGUGAAAGCUCGAUCCAUAAACAGCUUACUGGGCCAAACAACUAACACACCCAUUGCGCACACUUAGCUUCAUUGUUAUUUCAUGUCGAACCAUUAUGUGUUUUAUAUCAUAUAUUAUAUUACAUAUACUUGGUGCAACUCAAAAGUUCUUCGUUGCUGAUGAAUUCAUGAAUAAUUUUGACGUGAUUCCCAUGAAUUAAUUGCACCGUUUCGAUUGUGGAUGGUCUUUACAUUCAUGUAUCUACUCUAUUAUUAAAUGAAUUAUAAAACGUAUUUUACGUGAA
Arachis ipaensis is the source of this 1619-nucleotide non-coding RNA. Lineage: Eukaryota; Viridiplantae; Streptophyta; Magnoliopsida; Fabales; Fabaceae. The record is from RefSeq and is a predicted model, not a curated record.